This is a non-coding RNA of Ameiurus melas (black bullhead), 73 nucleotides long. NCBI's taxonomy places the organism in Eukaryota, Metazoa, Chordata, Actinopteri, Siluriformes, Ictaluridae. The record is from the annotation of a GenBank genome assembly.
GGCUAGGUGGCUUAGUGGUCAGCAGGUUUGCCUCUCACCCCUGAGGUUGGGGGUUUGAUUCCCUCCUCUGCCC